AGCUACUCUGCCGGAAAUGAGGAGUAGAAGAAGAAAGCAGCGUAGGCUCCAGAGCAGAGCUGGAUGUAUGGCUGCAGGACGCCGCCGCGUCACUUCAGCAGCUAACAGUGAAAACACUGUUAAACUACGGACAGGUCGCCUCUCUUUGCAGCGUUACCAAACGGUGUGAGUUAUCAAUAAUGUAUAUUGGUCCGUUAUUUAUACUUUGAAGGCUCACCCGCGGCGCCGAUAAUGCUGAAAAUGAAGCUACCGAUGAAAACGGGCGAGGAAGGAGGCGACGAGACGGCCGAGGACGAUUCACUGGAUCAGUCGGAGCACCGACAUAUUCCCAGGGCUGUGCCUUCCUCUUCGGUGUCGGACAGACCGGAUGAGUCGCCCAGACCUUUUGUGCAUCCAUCCCAGCUGGACAAGGAGACUGUUUUCGAGUGGUUCGGCCUACAUCUAAACCCCGCUAAGCGGAUCGAGUUCAUGUGCGGGCUGUUACAUAUGUGCCAACCCCUGGAGCUCCGCUUUUUGGGAUCUUACUUAGAGGAUCUGGCUAGAAAAGAUUACCAUGUUUUAAGGGACUUCGAGUUUCGGGCGAAUAGUCCGAGCGAUUUGGGAGUUUUAACGGACGUGAUUGACCCGGUGGUCAGGUCCAAACUCCUGGUCUGCCUGUCCCUCCUCGGGUCUGACAGCAGGGAGUGUGCGGGAAUACUCUUUCGGAUACUGAGCCAUGUAGAUCCGGCCUUGUUCUACAAAAAUUACGACUACUCCCUUCCACCCUUCAGGAACACUCACCACCACUCGCCCCAUCCGCCGUGUCAGGACGGGAGUGUGUACGGGCGCUCAGAGCAGAACUGCGGCUUCUCCUCCAGCGAAGCGGCGGCAGGACCUCUGGAGCAGCUGGCGCUGCUUUUUACCAUGGCCUCUUUGCACCCAGCUUUUCACUUCCACCAACGAGAGACGGUCCGAGGGCAGCUGGAAAAAAUCGAACUUGCCAUCGAGGAGGAGAGACGUCAGAGCCAGCUCAGAGCGAGCGCCCAGACAACGGAGCUGACGGCUCAGAACACCGACUACCUGCCUUCCCCAGCAGGUUUGGGGGAUUGCGCGGCCUCCCAUCCCCCGUGCCAGAGCCGAUGCUCCAGCCGCUGGGCAACACAAAGAGAAGCGGUGCAUAUAGAGGGAAUCGUGCUCAGGGGCAUCUCGCGGACCAGUAUAGACAAAGAGUACAACUUUGAGGUGAAGUGGUCAGAUUCUUCUUCCAGCAGUGUGACCAAAACCCAUCUGGAACUGGAGAAUUUCCUUCUUAAGCUUCCUAAGGAUCAGUGUACUGAGUCCUUUGAGAAGAGCAUCCUGAGGCUUCUGAACCAGGGGGACCAGAGUGAGAGCAGGGACGUGGAGAAGAACCUCAGGGAAAGGUUCCUGUCUGCUCCUCCCGUCUUCAGGCAGACCAGAAAGGUCUGCAGCUUCUUCAACUGUGACUCCACAUACUCGACAAAACCUGCUGGCUGCAGAUGCAACUGCCAGCUGGGUAAGGCCUACCCGGGAGACUGUUCUGAUGCCUCCAGUCAGGAGGAAGAUUUAGAGUCGUACGUUCAGGGACAUAAGAAGAAGCACGGGGCCAAGAGUCCAUGUCAAGGGCUCUCCAGUGCCAAGGGCUCACAGGGGGAUAGUCGGAGGACAGGCCACGCCGCAGAGCUCAACAGUCCAGCAGAGAGGAGGAAGAGCUGCACACUGAGGAGCAGCCAGGCAGCUGAGCAGCACCCGGAGAGUGAGAAGAGGAGCCACCCGGGCGCCAAAACAAAGAGCAGAGGCCUGCCCGCAGACAGGGACAAGGGGAAAGUGAAGGGUCCCGCUUUUGUGGCCAACGGCAGGCUGGGAGCAGCCCUGUCACCUCAGAGGAAAGAUGGAGGUUCUGGUCCAGACACGUUUGGUGAAACAUCAUCAGAAAGCUACAGCUCUCCAUCCAGCCCUCAACACAGAGGACCAGAGAGCAUGGACAGCGAGGACGACAACAACAAAGACACUGACAGUCACUCUGAUGACUCCAGCAAAGGCCCGGGCCCUGACAUGUUCUUCACCCACCAGGCUGAUCCAGCUGUGGUGGGGGAGGUUACCUCUGUCCACCCUCUGUCUUCCAAGAACCACCGGGCCCAAAUGGACCCAGUCUGCCCGGAGCCCAGUGCAGAUUUCCCCCCUCUUCCACUCUCCCCCUUCAUACAUUCUCUGCCCUACGUGCUCCCCAACGGGGCCGCUGACUCUCCGCUUCCACUGGCGCCUCCUCCCAGCCAAAGCAUUGUCCCCGAUGUGAAGCCCUCGUCUGGGACACUGAUGAUGCAGAUGCCCCUAGUGCCUUCAGCUAUCCCAGGCCCUGGAAUAGUAGGAGACCCAGAGAAGAGGGACAUGCUCCCGACCUUUGGGAUUCCACCUAUUGGCCUCCACCCUUCAGGAAAUCCCGCCGUGCAGCCCAUGGUGCAGAGAUUCAAAACAGCUUUGCCUCACAGCCCAGGCGGCACUGAUGGAGCUCUAGGGAGUGCUUCGACUCCUGCUGCCCCACAGGGUCCACACCAGGUCUCUGUAAGAGCCAUCAGCAUCAUGUCUCCUGGCCCCACAUCCUUCUCCUCUCCUCUUCAGCAGCCUCUACCCUGCCAAGACCCGGCCGGCGUCAGCUCAGGCCUGGCCCCCGCUCUGCCACACGUGGAGACUUCACAGCAUGCCAAGCACCCCGGCUUAACCUUACCGUCCGGCCUGCCUUCUCCCUACACCCUGCCACCGGUCCCCACCUCUGUUAUGCCUACUGUAGGAGCUCCUGCAGCCGCUGGAAUAGCUCCGUCUCCUGGACACGUACAAGCAGCUGUUCCACCAGCCGUGCCCACCCACACGCCCGGACCUGCCCCCAGUCCCAGCCCAGCGCUUACUCACAGCACGGCGCACAGCGACUGUACAUCGUACAGCAACAGCAGCGCUUCCUGUGGAAGUGCUGCUGUUGGCAACCCUGUUACCCUUCAGCAAACCCAGCAGCAACAGUUGCCCCCACAGCAGCCAACACCACAACAACAACAACCACAGCAGCAGCAGCAGCAACCGAUGGGCUGUGGGACCUGUGGUUGUCACAACAACUGUGGCGGCCGAGUCAGCGUGAGCAACAACAACAGUGUCAGCGGCGCCUCCGGCUGCCAGGCCCCCUUAUUCUUCCCUGCCCACCAGAUGGCGGCAGCCCGGCAGGUGUUUAGCGUUCCUCCGCCUCUCUUCGCUCAGCUCACAAGCCUGUGCAGUAACAGUUACCUCACCCAGGCGCAGCCUCCUCACCAGGCCAACGGUGCGGCCACCCUGUCCCCCUUCUUCCCCACCGCUCCACCUCCCGCACACCCGCCCCCCUACGGCCCCCUCCACACCCACGCACACAGCCACGCGGACGUGCCAUCGCACAUGCUCGGCACCCAGGCCGCCGUAGUGGCAGCCGCAGCGGCCGCAAACUACAACCUCCAGCAGCAGAUGGCGCCGGCCGCGUCGUUCUGCCAGCGCGUCUACCAGCACGUGUACCCGAACACCCUGGGUAUGAUACCCACUGCUACCAUGGGCGGAGGUGGAGUCAAUAAGAAGAACGGCAACGUGUCCUGUUAUAACUGUGGGGUGAGCGGCCACUACGCUCAGGACUGCAACCAACCCUCCAUAGACUCCACGCAGCAAGGUAGUGCAGCUACACGGAACAGGGAUAAACAGAGGACCACUUAGUCAUUGAGAAGGUCUAACACUGAGCCCAGACUACGAGAAGUUAGGGCGAGUAUAUUGUGAGGUGUUUAGCUUCAGCUCUCUUGCUUCAGUUUGGAAGCUGUGCCACCGGAACAUUCAAAUUGCACCAAACAAACGUGUGUGUGUGUGUUAUCCUGCAGGACACGACAACAAGCAGAGCUGUCAGGGACCAGAGUAAAGUUUGUUUGAGCUACAUCUCUGCCAUCAAAAUCCACUGUGAUUGGUUAAUCCACAAGAGUACCGUACCAUGCCAGUGCCAGUCCCUGGUUUGCAUGUAGUCAGGCACUCUGACGGUGUGACCGCCGUCUACACGUGUUUUUAAGUGUCUUUUGAGGUUUGUUAACAUUACGGACUCACAGCUUAUUAUUUAGCUCCGUUGAGGACUGUCUCAUCCACUAAGCGUGGACAGAAUCAAAGGUUAGCGUCUGUAUGCUGCUUCGGAUGUGGUGAAGUUAUCAUCCUUGAAACAUUUCCACAUAUAAAAAAACAAAACUUACAAUGCACAAAUCUCACCUUUGUGUAGCCUUCCCAAAUUUCAGUUUAGUUUUUUAACUGGAGUCCAUCUCCUUCUUGCAUUUUGGCCGAGCGAUGAUGUGCUCGUCACUGCCCCCCUGAGGCAGACGGUGGAACAUGUCCACACAAAUAUGUUUUAGGGGUUCUUUGGCAGCAAUGCUCAAACAGUCGUGGACGAGUUAGACAAAGGUGAAUUUCCUGCACGCUUAAGCUGUCCCCAUGUCAGUGGAUGACCGCGUCAGUGCGCCGCCCUGCUGCUUGUAGCACCACCUGCAGGUUUACACUGGCACUGCAGCUCAGAGGACGUGACAAAUAUCAAUCAUUCUAUCAAUCGUCAUUCAGAAAUAAAGUCAAAGCAAACCAGUGACUGCCAGGAUGGUACACAAACACUCACAGUCACAGCUCAGAGUUGAAGGUGGAUUCCGGUUAAAGUACGCAGCCUCCCACAUUUCAGAAGCACUUGACAAUGCCGACUGAAGAGGAAGAAAAGGAUGAAGAGGAGUUCGGCUGGUCUCAUUCCCGGUCCUCUGUUCUUCCCCAGGCACUGUGUGUGUGUGUGUGUGUCUGUGUGUGUGCGCGUGUGUGUGAGAGUGAGCAGCGCACUGAAGCUUCUGAGUACUUCAGGAAAAAAAAGAAAUCUCAAAAAGAAAGAGUGACCUGCCAAGGGCUCUGUGGACAAAGCCUAAGUACUUGUGCCUGAGAAAAUCUUGUUCCCAUGGGGAUGAUUCGCCGUCUCGUGCACACCAACAGUCCACGUGACUCCCCGGGUCUCUUCCCUUUCAGUUUGUUUUUGAUAUUUUUGCACUGAGGGUUGGAAGUGAUUAACUUAUUACUUAAUUAUUAGGAGGUUGAGAGAUUUUUUUGUUUUGUUUUUUCAUUCAAGUGGAGACUAGUCCGAGCUCUGUACACUUAUUUCUAAAAUAGCGUAUUUAUGCUUCUCCCUCAUUACUGUUCAUCUAGGAUUUUAUGCUCUGGCAGAAAUGUACAGCAGUUUUUUCAAAGAUGAGAAGAAGAAUCAAAAAAAAAAAAAAGAGUCGUAAGCAAAGUGUAUUUUAGGUUUGUUUUAUGUUGCUGUAAGGUUUUUGAAUGUACACCUUGUUUAAGGAAUCUACAACGUGUAUCGAUCUCAUGCGUUUUUUGCCACUCUAUGUAUGUUUAGUUGGAAAGUAAUUGCUGCUUUGUAAUAUUUUGUUUCACAUUGUUUUUUUGUUUUUUUUGUGAAAUGCACUAUAGCGAGGCAAGAACACAAGUGCACUAAAACUCAGCACUAUGACAGGAUUUCUUCGUUUUUAAUAGCCCAGUCAGCAAAACAGUCAGCAAGUCCUGCGUGUUGACUCUUUUAGAAGUGAGACGGUUAACGUUUUAGACAGAGUGAGCUCUCACUGUUCUAACUUAAACUACACACACUGUAGAAAUACACAAAGCAUAGAAUCAUUCGGAUCACCUCUCUCAGUCAUCACAUUUGGUCAACAGCAAGAUAACUACUCCAACUACCAGCCGGAUUGCAGAUUGACUACAAUUCCCACGUGCACACAGAAAAUACCAAGCUGCAUUCAUGUUCUCCUGAAGAUGAACACAUUCUAUUUUGGAACCAGUUUUCGGAGACGGGAUUUCAGGUUUUUAACCACUACUGAUGAUUCUAAAGACCUCAGUCUGCUUCAAAUGUUUGUUUUUAUCUCCUCGCUCGCCCCGAUCUCUCCCAGAGAAUGACUUUUUUUUGGCUAGCUUUGUGGGAAGAUGGCGUUCCCAUUAUUUCAUCAAGUCAGCUGGACUUUUGUUGAGUUUACAGGAUGUUAAAUGUUAGAGAAUAUUGCAUAUAAAGUCAGUGAAAUGACUCCAUAAUUAAUAUGUAUCCAAAGUUAGCUAUCAUUGGCCACUGUAUUGCUUGUAUACCAGACCAAUUGUGGUCUAGAUGUAGAUAAUUCAACAAGUUGUCUGUUGGAAGCAUACUGAGGCUUUAGAAAACAACAGUUUGGUGUUGUUCAGUGCUCGUUGGGGAUGCAGACCGUUAAGCUUACAUUUUUAAAUGUACAAUUUCAGCUGUUGCUUUCAUCAGCGUACAAAGGUACCACACUACAGAGGGCCAGCUUGGUUAUUACUUGGAUAAAUUGACAGAAACGGUCAGAACAGACAGCAAACAUUACAUUGUAUAGACCAAGUCAUCAAGGCACGUCUCUCUUGCACUCUUGGUAUAUUAAUGCAAUGUGUAGUUUUAUCUGACAGCUCUGUGUGUAUUGUCAGAUCACCCCUUAGAGAGUGAAGUGUCAUCUCGUUCCAUUUGAAGCCUAGAAGAGAGCAGAAUGUGUGUUGAAGUUGAAACACUGAGGAGGGAAAUCACUGACUUUUUCUACACUUGUUAAUUGAGUGAAUAAAUAAAUAUCUAUGUUGAGUUUUUUUUUUUUUUUUUUUUGGUUUUUCUGCACAAAAUUGUUGAUAACUGACCCAAGAUGUCUGACAAACAUGAAAAUGACAUUUGAAGGAAGCUCGUUAACGUUAUUUGGGGGGUUUUAGGUAAUAAACAAAAGCCAUGUGAGAGACUAUGGAGGCCAAAAGUGCAUGGAAUUAAAUAAAAAAGAAUAAUAGUAAAUGACACAAACACAUUAUAUUCUGGUUUUAUAGUUUUAGCGCCUGUCAGCCUAUCACAUGCCUCGUCUCUCAUAAGUUAGCAAGAAGUUCAAGUUCAGCAACUUCUCCCAGAUUUAGCCAGUUAGCACCUUUUAGCUUGAGCAGUGUCAACACUAAAGGCCACAAACUCACUGUCACUGUGUCUAAUUAACAGAAAUGAACGUGUUUCUUUUUUUUUCGAGCAUAACAAGGCUGCACGUGCUACCUACUCAGCUGGUGAGCUAGAAAGGGUCGUUAACUUGGUUUAGUGUCAAAGUGAAGUGCCAACGACGGCAGCUAACGUUAGCUGGUUAAGUCAGUUAUGUCAGCACUAUAAAG
Molecule: RNA transcript, 7191 nt
Organism: Larimichthys crocea (large yellow croaker)
Lineage: Eukaryota; Metazoa; Chordata; Actinopteri; Sciaenidae
Gene: zcchc2
Gene name: zinc finger, CCHC domain containing 2
Exons: 14
Source: RefSeq, a predicted model, not a curated record